UACGGGGGGGGCAAGCGUUGUUCGGAAUUACUGGGCGUAAAGGGCUCGUAGGUGGCCAACUAAGUCAGACGUGAAAUCCCUCGGCUUAACCGGGGAACUGCGUCUGAUACUGGAUGGCUUGAGUUUGGGAGAGGGACGCGGAAUUCCAGGUGUAGCGGUGAAAUGCGUAGAUAUCUGGAGGAACACCGAUGGCGAAGGCAGCCCCCUGGGCUGACACUGACGCUCAGGCACGAAAGCGUGGGGAGCAAACGGG
RNAcentral lists this ribosomal RNA (253 nucleotides) under uncultured bacterium. RNAcentral describes it as "partial 16S ribosomal RNA". It matches the Rfam family "Bacterial small subunit ribosomal RNA", at positions 524 to 776 of the family's 1533-position model. The record is from RNAcentral.